UUGGAGGGCAAGUCUGGUGCCAGCAGCCGCGGUAAUUCCAGCUCCAAUAGCGUAUAUUAAAGUUGUUGCAGUUAAAAAGCUCGUAGUUGAAUUUCGGGAUCAGUAUGUUGGUCGUGCCCUUGGUACGUACUAGUUUAUUGGUUUCUUCCUUCUGACGAACCAUGAUGUCAUUAAUUUGGUGUCUUGGGGAAUCAGGACUGUUACUUUGAAAAAAUUAGAGUGUUUAAAGCAGGCUCACGCUUGAAUACAUUAGCAUGGAAUAAUGAAAUAGGACGUUUGAUUCUAUUUUGUUGGUUUCUAGGAUCGACGUAAUGAUUAAUAGGGAUAGUGGGGGGCAUUAGUAUUCAAUUGUCAGAGGUGAAAUUCUUGGAUUUAUUGAAGACUAACUACUGCGAAAGCAUUUGCCAAGGAUGUUUUCAUUAAUCAAGAACGAAAGUUAGGGGAUCGAAGACGAUCAGAUACCGUCGUAGUCUUAACCAUAAACUAUGCCGACUAGGGAUCGGAUGAUGUUAAUUUUUUAAUGACUCAUUCGGCGCCUUACGGGAAAC
This 548-nucleotide ribosomal RNA is filed under the name uncultured Glomeromycotina. RNAcentral describes it as "SSU rRNA". It matches the Rfam family "Eukaryotic small subunit ribosomal RNA", at positions 548 to 1098 of the family's 1831-position model. The record is from RNAcentral. Lineage: Eukaryota; Fungi; Glomeromycota.